GGAUGUGAGGGUGAUCUGGCUAUGACCUCUGUCACCUCAUUGGUCACCGGGGUUGAUUCAGGUUGUCCGCCUGGCUAGCUGGUUAUCCCCGUCCUCCCUCACUGCUCCAUGCGUGUCUCUCCUGAAGCUGCCUGCCUGAUCCAAGAAGAUGACCUUGCUCCAUAGAGGAGGAACAAGGUUGCUGGGUCAAGGGCAUGCAAAUAGCUGCUCUCCUUUGCUGGAGCCUCCAAACAAGCUCUCGAGGUUCCUUUAUAACAGACCUUAGGGCAGUCAAGCUUCCAAGACUCCAGACACAUCCAAUGAGGGGCUGCAUGUGGGGGCCUGGGUCCCUUU
This 333-nucleotide small nuclear RNA is filed under the name Neogale vison (American mink). RNAcentral's name for it is "Neovison vison (American mink) 7SK RNA (ENSNVIG00000005624.1)". It matches the Rfam family "7SK RNA". Rfam says of the family: 7SK was discovered as an abundant small nuclear RNA in the mid-70s but a possible function has only recently been suggested. Two independent studies have found that 7SK RNA binds the CDK9/cyclin T complex (known as elongation factor P-TEFb). Lineage: Eukaryota; Metazoa; Chordata; Mammalia; Carnivora; Mustelidae. The record is from Rfam by way of RNAcentral.